Molecule: ribosomal RNA, 498 nt
Filed under: uncultured bacterium
Lineage: Bacteria
Description: bacterial SSU rRNA
Rfam family: Bacterial small subunit ribosomal RNA
Source: RNAcentral
AUUGAACGCUGGCGGCAGGCUUAACACAUGCAAGUCGAACGAUGAAGUCUAGCUUGCUAGACGGAUUAGUGGCGAACGGGUGAGUAAUGCUUAGGAAUCUGCCUAUUAGUGGGGGAUAACGUAGGGAAACUUACGCUAAUACCGCAUACGACCUACGGGUGAAAGGGGGCGUUUAGCUCUCGCUAAUAGAUGAGCCUAAGUCGGAUUAGCUAGUUGGUGGGGUAAAGGCCUACCAAGGCGACGAUCUGUAGCUGGUCUGAGAGGAUGAUCAGCCACACUGGGACUGAGACACGGCCCAGACUCCUACGGGAGGCAGCAGUGGGGAAUAUUGGACAAUGGGCGAAAGCCUGAUCCAGCCAUGCCGCGUGUGUGAAGAAGGCCUUUUGGUUGUAAAGCACUUUAAGUGGGGAGGAAAAGCUUGUGGUUAAUACCCAUAAGCCCUGACGUUACCCACAGAAUAAGCACCGGCUAACUCUGUGCCAGCCGCCGCCGUAACAC